UUCCACCUCUUCCCAUUCCGAACAGAGAAGUUAAGCCUCGUCACGCCGAUGGUACUGCGUAACAGUGGGAGAGUAGGUAGCCGCCGUUU
This 89-nucleotide ribosomal RNA is filed under the name Bacteroides thetaiotaomicron. RNAcentral also lists the same sequence under 4 other names. The record is from RNAcentral. Lineage: Bacteria; Pseudomonadati; Bacteroidota; Bacteroidia; Bacteroidales; Bacteroidaceae.